RNAcentral lists this ribosomal RNA (566 nucleotides) under Bipolaris oryzae. RNAcentral's name for it is "eukaryotic LSU rRNA". The stretch from base 178 to 331 matches the Rfam family "5.8S ribosomal RNA". Lineage: Eukaryota; Fungi; Ascomycota; Dothideomycetes; Pleosporales; Pleosporaceae. The record is from RNAcentral.
GAGGCAUGACAAAUAUGAUGCCUGGCUUUCGCGGCCGGCUGAAGUAUUUUUUUCACCCAUGUCUUUUGCGCACUUGUUGUUUCCUGGGCGGGUUCGCCCGCCACCAGGACCAAACCAUAAACCUUUUUUUUCUUAUGCAGUUUCCAUCAGCGUCAGUAAAAACAAUGUAAUUAUUACAACUUUCAACAACGGAUCUCUUGGUUCUGGCAUCGAUGAAGAACGCAGCGAAAUGCGAUACGUAGUGUGAAUUGCAGAAUUCAGUGAAUCAUCGAAUCUUUGAACGCACAUUGCGCCCUUUGGUAUUCCAAAGGGCAUGCCUGUUCGAGCGUCAUUUGUACCUUCAAGCUUUGCUUGGUGUUGGGCGUUUUUUUGUCUCCCUCUUUCUGGGAGACUCGCCUUAAAACGAUUGGCAGCCGGCCUACUGGUUUCGGAGCGCAGCACAUUUUUUGCGCUUUGUAUCAGGAGAAAAGGACGGUACUCCAUCAAGACUCUACAUUUUUCACUUUUGACCUCGGAUCAGGUAGGGAUACCCGCUGAACUUAAGCAUAUCAAAGCGGGGAGAGGAA